This 399-nucleotide ribosomal RNA is filed under the name bacterium Urfbp2. Its description in RNAcentral is "bacterial SSU rRNA". It matches the Rfam family "Bacterial small subunit ribosomal RNA", at positions 78 to 476 of the family's 1533-position model. The record is from RNAcentral.
GGAGGACGGUGGAAUGAGCGGCGGACGGGUGAGUAACACGUAAAGAACCUGCCCAUAGGUCUGGGAUAACCACGAGAAAUCGGGGCUAAUACCGGAUGUGUCAUCGGACCGCAUGGUCCGUUGAUGAAAGGCGCUUGGCGUCGCCCAUGGAUGGCUUUGCGGUGCAUUAGCUAGUUGGUGGGGUAACGGCCCACCAAGGCGACGAUGCAUAGCCGACCUGAGAGGGUGAUCGGCCACACUGGGACUGAGACACGGCCCAGACUCCUACGGGAGGCAGCAGUAGGGAAUCUUCCACAAUGGACGAAAGUCUGAUGGAGCAACGCCGCGUGAACGAUGAAGGCUUUCGGGUCGUAAAGUUCGUGUUGUAAGGGAAGAACAAGUGCCGCAGGCAAUGGCGGC